This 236-nucleotide long non-coding RNA is filed under the name Carica papaya (papaya). RNAcentral describes it as "long non-coding RNA (CPAP_LNC015665)". The record is from RNAcentral. Lineage: Eukaryota; Viridiplantae; Streptophyta; Magnoliopsida; Brassicales; Caricaceae.
AACCUUCGGUUUUUCGUAUAAAUGAUUAGUGUGAUAUUCUUACUGGGUUAGUGUAGUGUACCUGUUCAUUAACAAUUUCAGAUCAAGAAAAUCAAGAUUUAGAUCCCGAUCAGUAAGAAGGUUGUGAGUAGUCCACAUUUCGAACUCCCUUCAAGUGCUAGUGAAGGUUGUCCUAAGAUGCUUAUUUAUUCGUUUUUCUUUAAUUAUUGUUUGUCUUUUAUAAACUAAGUAGAAAG